This 403-nucleotide ribosomal RNA is filed under the name Fusobacteriota bacterium. Its description in RNAcentral is "Fusobacteria bacterium partial 16S ribosomal RNA". It matches the Rfam family "Bacterial small subunit ribosomal RNA", at positions 355 to 776 of the family's 1533-position model. Lineage: Bacteria; Fusobacteriati; Fusobacteriota. The record is from RNAcentral.
UGGGGGAUAUUGCACAAUGGGGGAAACCCUGAUGCAGCGACGCCGCGUGAGCGAUGAAGGUUUUCGAAUCGUAAAGCUCUGUCCUAUGGGAAGAUAAUGACGGUACCAUGGGAGGAAGCCCCGGCUAACUACGUGCCAGCAGCCGCGGUAAUACGUAGGGGGCGAGCGUUGUCCGGAAUUACUGGGCGUAAAGGGUUCGCAGGCGGCAUGGCAAGUCCGAUGUAAAAGGCGAAGGCUCAACCUUCGUAAGCAUCGGAAACUGUCAAGCUUGAGUGAAGGAGAGGCAAGUGGAAUUCCUAGUGUAGCGGUGGAAUGCGUAGAUAUUAGGAGGAAUACCGGUGGCGAAGGCGACUUGCUGGACUUCAACUGACGCUGAGGAACGAAAGCGUGGGUAGCAAACAGG